GGAGGAGUGGCAGAGCGGUCGAUUGCACCGGUCUUGAAAACCGGCAUGCGUGAAAGCGCAUCGUGGGUUCGAAUCCCACCUCCUCCGCCA
Molecule: transfer RNA, 90 nt
Filed under: Rhodosalinus halophilus
Lineage: Bacteria; Pseudomonadati; Pseudomonadota; Alphaproteobacteria; Rhodobacterales; Paracoccaceae
Description: Rhodosalinus sp. E84 tRNA-Ser
Rfam family: tRNA
About the family: Transfer RNA (tRNA) molecules are approximately 80 nucleotides in length.
Source: RNAcentral